RNAcentral lists this transfer RNA (65 nucleotides) under Megacopta cribraria (bean plataspid). RNAcentral's name for it is "tRNA-Arg". The record is from RNAcentral. Lineage: Eukaryota; Metazoa; Arthropoda; Insecta; Hemiptera; Plataspidae.
AGAUAAUGAAGUAAUAAUACAUUUAGUUUCGACCUAAAAAUUAGGGUACAAUUGCCCCUUAUCUA